Molecule: ribosomal RNA, 253 nt
Filed under: uncultured bacterium
Lineage: Bacteria
Description: partial 16S ribosomal RNA
Rfam family: Bacterial small subunit ribosomal RNA
Source: RNAcentral
UACGAAGGGGACUAGCGUUGUUCGGAUUUACUGGGCGUAAAGCGCGCGCAGGCGGUCUUCCAAGUCAGUGGUGAAAGCCCGGGGCUCAACUCCGGAAUUGCCUUUAAGACUGCAUCGCUUGAAUUGUGGAGAGGUAAGUGGAAUUCCGAGUGUAGAGGUGAAAUUCGUAGAUAUUCGGAAGAACACCAGUGGCGAAGGCGACUUACUGGACACAUAUUGACGCUGAGGUGCGAAAGCGUGGGGAGCAAACAGG